RNAcentral lists this unclassified non-coding RNA (259 nucleotides) under Sarcoscypha sp. Its description in RNAcentral is "partial contains 5.8S ribosomal RNA, internal transcribed spacer 2, and large subunit ribosomal RNA". The stretch from base 1 to 52 matches the Rfam family "5.8S ribosomal RNA", at positions 103 to 154 of the family's 154-position model. RNAcentral also lists the same sequence under 2 other names. Lineage: Eukaryota; Fungi; Ascomycota; Pezizomycetes; Pezizales; Sarcoscyphaceae. The record is from RNAcentral.
AACGCACAUUGCGCCCUCUGGUAUUCCGGAGGGCAUGCCUGUCCGAGCGUCGUCAAACCCCCUCAAGCUCCUUUGCUUGGUCAUGGCGGAAGAUCCCCUCCCCGGAGGGGUUCCCCGCUCAAAGGGAUCUGGCGUGCGGACCCGUACUCGCAGACGUAGUAAGCAAUUCUAUCGUCCGCCGGGCUCGGGCCGCCCCGCCGACGCAACCCACAUCUUCUAGGUUGACCUCGGAUCAGGUAGGGAUACCCGCUGAACUUAA